This 72-nucleotide transfer RNA is filed under the name Ornithorhynchus anatinus (platypus). It matches the Rfam family "tRNA". From Rfam's summary of the family: Transfer RNA (tRNA) molecules are approximately 80 nucleotides in length. Their secondary structure includes four short double-helical elements and three loops (D, anti-codon, and T loops). Further hydrogen bonds mediate the characteristic L-shaped molecular structure. tRNAs have two regions of fundamental functional importance: the anti-codon, which is responsible for specific mRNA codon recognition, and the 3' end, to which the tRNAs corresponding amino acid is attached (by aminoacyl-tRNA synthetases). tRNAs cope with the degeneracy of the genetic code in two manners: having more than one tRNA (with a specific anti-codon) for a particular amino acid; and 'wobble' base-pairing, i.e. permitting non-standard base-pairing at the 3rd anti-codon position. Lineage: Eukaryota; Metazoa; Chordata; Mammalia; Monotremata; Ornithorhynchidae. The record is from Rfam by way of RNAcentral.
AGCAGCGUGGCUCAGUGGAAAGAGCACGGGCUUGGGAGUCAGAGGUCAUGGGUUCGAGUCCCAGCUCUGCCA